RNAcentral lists this ribosomal RNA (827 nucleotides) under uncultured bacterium. RNAcentral describes it as "bacterial SSU rRNA". It matches the Rfam family "Bacterial small subunit ribosomal RNA", at positions 57 to 869 of the family's 1533-position model. The record is from RNAcentral.
GCAGUUGAGCGCUGAAGUUGGUACUUGUACCGACUGGAUGAGCAGCGAACGGCCGAUAAAUGCGUGGGGAAUCUGCCUUUGAGCGGGGGACAACAUUUGGAAACGAAUGCUAAUACCGCAUAAAAACUUUAAACACAAGUUUUAAGUUUGAAAGAUGCAAUUGCAUCACUCAAAGAUGAUCCCGCGUUGUAUUAGCUAGUUGGUGAGGUAAAGGCUCACCAAGGCGAUGAUACAUAGCCGACCUGAGAGGGUGAUCGGCCACAUUGGGACUGAGACACGGCCCAAACUCCUACGGGAGGCAGCAGUAGGGAAUCUUCGGCAAUGGACGAAAGUCUGACCGAGCAACGCCGCGUGAGUGAAGAAGGUUUUCGGAUCGUAAAACUCUGUUGGUAGAGAAGAACGUUGGUGAGAGUGGAAAGCUCAUCAAGUGACGGUAACUACCCAGAAAGGGACGGCUAACUACGUGCCAGCAGCCGCGGUAAUACGUAGGUCCCGAGCGUUGUCCGGAUUUAUUGGGCGUAAAGCGAGCGCAGGUGGUUUAUUAAGUCUGGUGUAAAAGGCAGUGGCUCAACCAUUGUAUGCAUUGGAAACUGGUAGACUUGAGUGCAGGAGGGGAGAGUGGAAUUCCAUGUGUAGCGGUGAAAUGCGUAGAUAUAUGGAGGAACACCGGUGGCGAAAGCGGCUCUCUGGCCUGUAACUGACACUGAGGCUCGAAAGCGUGGGGAGCAAACAGGAUUAGAUACCCUGGUAGUCCACGCCGUANACGAUGAGUGCUAGAUGUAGGGAGCUAUAAGUUCUCUGUAUCGCAGCUAACGCAAUAAGCACUC